GCCGACUUUCAGUCACCAUACAACUUUUAAAACAACAAAAGAUUUCUCUUUGUUUUACAAAAACAUGAUAGUUCCGAGUGAAAUACUGCAUAGAAUUCACGGAAUAACCCUGAUGCACACAGAGAACCACAUUCACUGUUUAAAAACAGUGGAAGAUAUUAACAUAGGAACUAGAGCCGAGAGCCUUCACGAUCAGCCAGCUGCAGGUCAGACCUGAACUACAAACCUGAUCUUAGAUAGGCCAAAGUGCCUACCCUGCCAGCAAGGGGUAGCUGUUAGCCUGGGCACAUUUUUAAUUAAAAACAGGGAGAGAAGACUUAUAAACUUCAGUAAUUUUCUUCCCAAACACGCAGGGAUGCACUUCACUGAACACUCAUUACGUGAGACGUAAUUUUACCUUUAUGUCCUUUACCUACACUGGCAUCGACGGAGGCCACAGCGCACCGCGCUCCUUGAGAAAAUCCCCGGCCUCAGCCCUACUGAGGUCGAAAGUCGGUGACGGAAAGAAAAACGAACGGAGCGGACCGAGGGCGAUGUCCCCGCCGCAGCCCGGUGUGCCCGCCCGCCGGUCCCCGUGCGGGGCGGCGGCGCUCCCGCUCCCGCCCGGGAAACUUUCGGGUUGCGCCGCUCUCCGGCCGGGAGGCGCUGCCCGCCUUCCCCCGGCGCUGCCCCGCAGCCGCCGGAUACGCCGCCUCCAUUCACCGGAGCCCCGCGAGGGGUGCGGGGGGGUGGCGUCCCGGCCCGGCGCUGCCCCCCGGCCGGGCGGCACAAAGCAGCGGCUGUCACACGCACACGAGCAGCAACUCGGGAGGAUGAGGAGGAGCCGCCCCCGAGCCCCCCCGCAACUGGACGUGGCACAACGAACACUCCUCCCGCUCCGGGCCCCCCGUGCCGCCCCCGGCAGGUACCGGCCCCCUCCUGCGCGGGGCGGCCGCGGAGCCUCGGCCGCACAGGUGACACCCGCCUUUCCCCCGCUCCCGACGCCCCUUCCCCGCGUCGUCCCCCGCGGGCGCCACAAGUUUGCGGCGGGCCCCAGCCCCCGCCCCGGCCCCAUCCCCGUCCCGCCCGCGGCCGCGCUCACCUCCGGCCGGCCGGCGGGGAGCGGAGCGGGGCGGGCGGCGGCGGCGGGGAGGCUCCCAGCCCAGGCGGGCUCCGCUUCUUUGUCUCCUCGGCGGCGGCGCCCGCUCGCUCCCCCUCCGCUUCCCUCUGCCCUUCCCUGGGCGGAUGCGGGCCGCGUCCUCCGAGAGGGGCCAGCUGGCUACCCCCGCUUCCCCUUCCUUCUCCUCCUGCGCUCUUCGCCGGACGCGUCCAAGGCCCCGGCCCUCGGCGGCGGCAACGGCAGCUCCGCUCCCUGCCUUCCCUCUGCCUGCUGCGCCCGGCGGCGGCGGCGGCGGCCCCUCCUCCGCGAACCGCCCCCCCCCGGCACAGGCACAGCCCCCGCCCCCGCCCUGCCCUUCCUGCCGCUGCCGCUGCCGGGAUCGCGCGGGAGGAGCUCUCCGGGCUCCCCUUCACCCGCCGGGAGGGCCGCUGCUCUCCCGCCCCAGCGCAGGAAGGACGAGCAGGGACAGCCUGGGUGGCUCCCUCCCCUCUGCGGGAGGACCGCUCCGGGACCGCGGGGCGGGGCAAAGGGGGCCCUGCCCGGCAGGAGCGCCCUGACGCCUCCUUCCCGUUCCAUCCCCAUGAGACCCGGCGCUCCCGGAGAAGCUGCCCCGCUGGGAGCCAAAGCGCCCGGGAAAAAUCGCUCAGGAAAAGACCAUUUCCUCUGCCCUCACCCUGAAGAACAGUUUAAUUUACCUUAGGAGUUUCCCAGCAGACCACAGGGAGCCCUGCAGAGGGUCAGGGCUUGAGGUGCCUAACACUGCACUGCCUUGUGCUUUAGUGUCAGUAACUUUGAAAUUGUUUACGGAAAAGCUCAUGGCUCCCACUGAUUUCAUCUGCUCUUGCAAUUUCACUAUGAGUCAUCCAAUAUGGUGUGUACUUUGUUUUACUUACAGACCAAACUGCCUGAAUUGCAUCUUUAGUUAAGUUGUCUCAGCUCCCUUCAGGCAAAAAAGUACAAGCAAAUAAAAUUUUCUUGCUCUCAGAGCUGUGGAGGCA
Junco hyemalis (dark-eyed junco) is the source of this 2097-nucleotide long non-coding RNA. The record is from Ensembl. Lineage: Eukaryota; Metazoa; Chordata; Aves; Passeriformes; Passerellidae.